This 1184-nucleotide long non-coding RNA is filed under the name Heterocephalus glaber (naked mole-rat). RNAcentral describes it as "lncRNA (ENSHGLG00100051982.1)". Lineage: Eukaryota; Metazoa; Chordata; Mammalia; Rodentia; Bathyergidae. The record is from RNAcentral.
UAAUCAUUGAGCUUUUAUUUUAAGAAUAAAUUACUUAACAGUGUUAUCAAUAUUUGAUUCCUAGCAAAAAGCAUGCAUUUUAAAAACAGACAUUUAAAUAAACUGAAUAUGUUGACUACCCUAAAGCUAAUUGGUGAUGGGCUUCUGACAACAUAUCCAAAAUGCGGAGAACACCCUACCCUGUAUUGUGUAGAUUCAGAUUUCUCUGGCAUGUUCUGAGGGUUGACUUUUGGACCUGCCAGGGGCUAUUUUCAUGAAGAACCAUGGAGCCCAGUGGAGAGAAAAUACGAACCCUUUCGGAGGGCUGACAGCCAGCCUUGCUGACUCUCUGGUAUAUAACAAGGCCUUGGAAGAGAUGUCUUCAUGAUAUUUUAUUCAUUUUAAGAGAAUGUGAACCAAGAGGAGUGAUCAAAAAGAAAGCCAAAUGUCUUCUAUGCCACCAACCACUUCCACUGCACACUAUUGGUUACAAGUGAGUCACUAUAUCUAGCUCACUCUCAAGACCAGGAGAAGGGAACUCUGCUACUUGAAAGAAGUGCUGUCAAGGAAUUCGUGGAAUCAUUAUUCACACCACAUUCUUAAAUGUUUUAUAAUCCCUCCAGAAGCUUCUGCAGCUAGGAUAAAACAUUAAGAUAACUUAACCUUAUCUUACCAAGUCAAGAAUUGUCCAUGUCUUCUAUAACCUGUCAUUCUCUCUUUUUAUCUAAUUACAAUUAUCAGACAGUAAUAUAUACCAAAAUAAAUGGAUGUAUAACCCAAUAAUGGAGUCAAAUCUCUUUAAUUAUCAUAAAAGUUCUAUUUCCACAGAAACUUUAAUUUUUUUAUAUGAAAGUUCUCAGUGAUGAUUUAAAACAAAUCAAUACAUAAGAAAAAUUACAACAAAAUGAAAUAUGUCAGCAAAAUCUCUGACACUAGUCAGUCCUGAUGUCCUUAGUUUGGAUUAAGGCUCCAUUGGCCCUAGAGAAUGCCAACCUUUGACAUCUACUGACAAUUUGACACUCAGGAACUUUGCUGAAUUCAUGUAGGAUUUGGGCCACAAAAACAAUAGCUCCCUCUUUGGUCUGAGGAUUAAAAAUAAGUUUCUUGUGAAUUUCUUUAAACAAACUAGUUCUGAUCAUGGCCUGAUUCUUGUUCUAAGUGACUUUCCUGCAGGACUUAGGAUUUAAAAUCCUAGAAUUACCGGG